Molecule: ribosomal RNA, 433 nt
Filed under: uncultured bacterium
Lineage: Bacteria
Description: partial 16S ribosomal RNA
Rfam family: Bacterial small subunit ribosomal RNA
Source: RNAcentral
AACGAACGCUGGCGGCAUGCCUAACACAUGCAAGUCGAACGAGACCUCCGGGUGUAGUGGCGCACGGGGGCGUAACGCGUGGGAACCUGCCCUUAGGCUCGGAAUAACUCCCCGACGGGGGUGCUAAUACCGGGUAAUGUCUUCGGACCAAAGAUUUAUCGCCUUUGGAUGGGCCGGCGUUGGAUUAGCUAGUUGGUAGGGUAAAAGCCUACCAAGGCGACGAUCCUUAGCUGGUCUGAGAGGAUGAUCAGCCACACUGGGACUGGGACACGGCCCAGACUCCUACGGGAGGCAGCAGUGGGGAAUAUUGGACAAUGGGCGAAAGCCUGAUCCAGCAAUGCUGCGUGAGUGAUGAAGGCCUUAGGGUUGUAAAGCUCUUUUACCCGGGAUGAUAAUGACAGUACCGGGAGAAUAAGCACCGGCUAACUCCGUG